RNAcentral lists this transfer RNA (66 nucleotides) under Marmota monax (woodchuck). Its description in RNAcentral is "tRNA.Undet". The record is from RNAcentral. Lineage: Eukaryota; Metazoa; Chordata; Mammalia; Rodentia; Sciuridae.
GGCUGUGGCUCAGUGGUAGAGUGCUUGCCUAGCAGUAUGAGGCCCUGGGUUUGAUCCUCAGCACCA